AUGAGUUCAAUUCAAUGUGUCAAUAAUAAUAGUGCAAAUAAGUUUGGGGUUAAAGCUCCCAUGAAUUUCUAAGUCCUUACAUUGUGAUCUCACAAAUUACACCACCUUACUUGCUUUGACAUUCUUAUGUUUUGCUUUGCCUGGGAGUAUCUAUCUGACUUUCAAUUUUCUCGGUAUUCUUUCUUGAAAAGGUUCUCUCUAUAUUCCUUUCUGUAAUCUAGUAAUUAUAGAAUAUUUUUCUUCCCUGGCAGAUCUCUGCAACCUCUGGGCCUUGCUGAAACCUUGUGUGGUUCACCACUCUACAUGGCUCCAGAAAUCAUGCAACUACAGAAGUAUGAUGCUAAGGCAGAUCUCUGGAGUGUUCGUGCAAUCUUAUUUCAGCUUGUUACAGGAAGAACACCUUUCACUGGAAACAAUCAAAUACAGGUAUAAAUUAGUGCCUCUUUCUAUUGUUGUAUUUUGAGUAUUCUCUCAAUGCAAACAAAGUUUUUUUCUAACCAAUAAUCGAAUAAUCUAUAUAUUUUGGUGCUAUCAUCAGUAGUGUUGUCCUCCAAAUGGGUACGAGUCUUUUGACCUUCUUAAUGCAAAGACUUGUGUCAGAAAUUGCUACGCCGGAAUCCAGUGGAACGUCUAACUUUUGAAGAAUUCUUUAACCACCCAUUCCUUUCUC
Molecule: non-coding RNA, 670 nt
Organism: Cajanus cajan (pigeon pea)
Lineage: Eukaryota; Viridiplantae; Streptophyta; Magnoliopsida; Fabales; Fabaceae
Source: RefSeq, a predicted model, not a curated record